UAUAAGCUAGAACUUGAAUUGUAUGAAUAAUAAUCUAUUUCGAUAUUUCGCGCAUUUUUUUAGUCAUAUUCAGAAUUUUGAGUGUUAUAUGAUGAAUAUAGAUUUCAGCAUUGAGUUCUUGUUUCUUUUCUUUUCUUAUACCUUUUGAGUGUAUUUAUUUUCGUGUUUUGCAACGUUUUUCUUUAUUGGAAUGGUCGAUGGUGGAGUGACGACUGAUUGAUGUAGGUAGAAAGAUUCUGCCGGGAACAGCGAAUCAAGGCGGUCUCAAUAUUACAAAUCUGAAUAAAGUGCGUACUGGACGUAAGUAAAAGAUGAUUAAUCUCACGUGAAGCAGAUGUAGAAUGGCAGUUUUAUCUUGAUAUAGAGUGUUUUAGAAUUGUACCAAUCGUAUUUUCCAUUUUAUUUUAAUCAGUUUUGUAUCCGGGUUUUAGAAGGUCAGCGCUUUUUUAGCCACCCCAGAUCGUGGGUCAUGAUAGGUAUUGAUUGGUUAGGGGCAGACUUUUUUGUGGUGAUGUGUACAUGUGAGGAGUAUAAUUUACGAAAUUUAUCCACAAUCAAGCCUGUUCAUGCAUGAGCCGAAUAUAAAUUUCAAAAAUCUCCAUUUUCCAAGGUGACUCUUCGAUUUUCUUCAUUUUCGUUCAUUUUGGGAUUUCUAUCUUCUUAUAAUAAGUUGGAGCUUCCUUCAUACUUUAUAUAUCUGCGUAAUCCAAUUAAUGAAGACACGAAAUUGAAUCGGGACAGUAAGUUUGCGGGAUUCAAACUUUGGUCACCAUGAACAAACUAAAGG
Molecule: non-coding RNA, 787 nt
Organism: Styela clava
Lineage: Eukaryota; Metazoa; Chordata; Ascidiacea; Stolidobranchia; Styelidae
Source: RefSeq, a predicted model, not a curated record